AGCGAACGCUGGCGGCAGGCCUAAUACAUGCAAGUCGAACGAAGCCUUCGGGCUUAGUGGCGGACGGGUGAGUAACACGUGGGAACGUACCUUUUGGUUCGGAACAACUCAGGGAAACUUGAGCUAACACCCGCAGCGCCCCUAGGCGGAAAGAUCUACCGCCGAAAGAGCGGCCCGCGUUAGAUUAGCGAGUUGGUGAGGUAAAGGCUCACCAAGGCUACGAUCUAUAGCUGGUCUGAGAGGAUGAUCAGCCACACUGGGCCUGAGACACGGCCCAGACUCCUACGGGAGGCAGCAGUGGGGAAUCUUGCGCGAUGGGCGAAAGCCUGACGCAGCCAUGCCGCGUGAGUGAUGAAGGCCUUAGGGUCGUAAAGCUCUUUCACCGGAGAAGAUAAUGACGGUAUCCGGAGAAGAAGCCCCGGCUAACUUCGUGCCAGCAGCCGCCGUAA
Molecule: ribosomal RNA, 449 nt
Filed under: uncultured bacterium
Lineage: Bacteria
Description: partial 16S ribosomal RNA
Rfam family: Bacterial small subunit ribosomal RNA
Source: RNAcentral